RNAcentral lists this ribosomal RNA (446 nucleotides) under uncultured bacterium. RNAcentral describes it as "bacterial SSU rRNA". It matches the Rfam family "Bacterial small subunit ribosomal RNA", at positions 330 to 792 of the family's 1533-position model. The record is from RNAcentral.
CCCAGACUCCUACGGGAGGCAGCAGUGGGGGAUAUUGCACAAUGGGGGGAACCCUGAUGCAGCGACGCCGCGUGGGUGAAGGAGCGUUUCGGCGCGUAAAGCCCUAUCGGCAGGGAAGAAGGAGGACGGUACCUGACUAAGAAGCCCCGGCUAACUACGUGCCAGCAGCCGCGGUAAUACGUAGGGGGCAAGCGUUAUCCGGAUUUACUGGGUGUAAAGGGGGCGCAGACGGCAGCGCAAGCCAGGAGUGAAAGCCCGGGGCCCAACCCCGGGACUGCUCUUGGAACUGCGCGGCUGGAGUGCAGGAGGGGCAGGCGGAAUUCCUGGUGUAGCGGUGAAAUGCGUAGAUAUCAGGAGGAACACCGGUGGCGAAGGCGGCCUGCUGGACUGCGACUGACGUUGAGGCCCGAAAGCGUGGGGAGCAAACAGGGUUAGAUACCCCUGUA